This 76-nucleotide transfer RNA is filed under the name Musicola paradisiaca Ech703. RNAcentral's name for it is "tRNA-Thr (GGT) (tRNA-Thr-GGT-2-1)". It matches the Rfam family "tRNA". From Rfam's summary of the family: Transfer RNA (tRNA) molecules are approximately 80 nucleotides in length. Their secondary structure includes four short double-helical elements and three loops (D, anti-codon, and T loops). Further hydrogen bonds mediate the characteristic L-shaped molecular structure. tRNAs have two regions of fundamental functional importance: the anti-codon, which is responsible for specific mRNA codon recognition, and the 3' end, to which the tRNAs corresponding amino acid is attached (by aminoacyl-tRNA synthetases). tRNAs cope with the degeneracy of the genetic code in two manners: having more than one tRNA (with a specific anti-codon) for a particular amino acid; and 'wobble' base-pairing, i.e. permitting non-standard base-pairing at the 3rd anti-codon position. The record is from RNAcentral. Lineage: Bacteria; Pseudomonadati; Pseudomonadota; Gammaproteobacteria; Enterobacterales; Pectobacteriaceae. RNAcentral also lists the same sequence under 1 other name.
GCUGAUAUGGCUCAGUAGGUAGAGCGCACCCUUGGUAAGGGUGAGGUCCCCAGUUCGACUCUGGGUAUCAGCACCA